UACGGGGGGGGCAAGCGUUGUUCGGAAUUACUGGGCGUAAAGGGUUUGUAGGUGGCUUGCUAAGUCAGACGUGAAAUCCCUCAGCUUAACUGGGGAACUGCGUCUGAUACUGGUGAGCUUGAGUGCAGGAGAGGAACGCGGAAUUCCCGGUGUAGCGGUGGAAUGCGCAGAUAUCGGGAGGAACACCCGUGGCGAAGGCGGAUCUCUGGGCCUUACCUGACGCUCAGGUGCGAAAGCUAGGGGAGCGAACAGG
RNAcentral lists this ribosomal RNA (253 nucleotides) under uncultured bacterium. RNAcentral describes it as "partial 16S ribosomal RNA". It matches the Rfam family "Bacterial small subunit ribosomal RNA", at positions 524 to 776 of the family's 1533-position model. The record is from RNAcentral.